Molecule: long non-coding RNA, 880 nt
Filed under: Homo sapiens (human)
Lineage: Eukaryota; Metazoa; Chordata; Mammalia; Primates; Hominidae
Description: HSALNT0018932
Source: RNAcentral
AUUCAGUUUUUCAUGAGUCUUUAUCCACUGACGCUUCUGUUUGCCAAAAGUGUCAGAUGCAUAUGUAUGAAUUAAAAAAUGCAUUUUACUUCAGAGUUCAAUAUAAGUAAUUUUGAAAUACAUGUAAUAGUUAUAUGUGAUUCUCAUUUAUUCCACAAUUAUAAGAAAUGGGAAUACCUAAUGAACUGAUUCAUGUUUUUUUCAAGCUAAUGUGAAAAUAUAAGUAUUAGAAUGAAUCUCUCACAAGAAGUUUCUUUUUUCUGAGACAGGGUCUCACUCUGUCACUCAGGCUGGAAUGCAGUGGUGUGAUCAUAGCUCACUCAGCCUCAAACUCCUGGGCUCAAGCAAUUCUCCCACUUCAGCCUCCAAAGUAGCUGGGACCACAGGAGGGCACUGUAUUGCCAGGUCCCUGGAUGUGGUGUGAAGACUGUUCUCUACAAAACUCUAGAAGGCACGAUUUUCAUCAGAUUCACAGCCAGCGUGGCCAUACGCAGUAAGCCUGUAUUAGGUAGCCAUGUUUAUUGCCCCAAAUACUACCGAGCCAUAGGCAAUAACCUGGCUUUCUUUUCUGUAAAAAUUAUGUUAGUAAAACUUGACUACCUUAUUUAGAAGUUUGUGUUAAAUCAAGUUUAGCCUGAAGUUGCUUGCUUACGUAUUUUAAGUUCAGCCUAAAGGUCUCUCUAUACGUGUGAACUAUAACCUAAAUGGAGAUAUAAACAGACUGUAACCUAUUCUCGUGCCAGUCACCGAGUUUUGGCCAGUCAAAGGGGGACAACUGUUCAAACCGUGUUCAAAUAAGGCAAACAUAUAAACAAUCUGGCUGUUUUUCUACAUCAUGUCUUUUGUUGUUGUUGUUGUUUUGAGACAAGAUCUCGCUCUG